This 5304-nucleotide long non-coding RNA is filed under the name Echeneis naucrates (live sharksucker). RNAcentral's name for it is "lncRNA (ENSENLG00000000042.1)". The record is from RNAcentral. Lineage: Eukaryota; Metazoa; Chordata; Actinopteri; Carangiformes; Echeneidae.
AUGGCAUUGGGCCAGGUCAGAAGUCAAAAUUGUAACUAUUACUUACACUACUCUCACAGUAGACCAGUGUCACCUCUUUCAGAGGAUGUUGAGUACUCCACAUUUUGCCUUGAGGAGCUAUUUGACGAAAACAGGUCAGACUCACCAGAUUCAAUUGUUUCAAAGAUUGAAUGCCCACCAACAACUGUAACCACAUCUCAACAACUGUCUGCCGGAAGACCUCUUACGUACGCUGAUGUUGUGCGGGGCUUUACACAUGAUAGGGAAACAGAGGAGUUGUUGACUUGUUCCCAAAAUGAAUUGACACCUGUUUGUCUUACGUCAGCAACUUUGGACACAGAGUGCGCUGACACCUCAGCAGACCAUUGGGUGACCGAUGUAAGGCCGCAUUCUCCUCAGUCGGUGGUGUCUGAAAGUGAACUCAGGCCCCUGUCUCCUGACUCACCUGUCCCUCAGUUCAGAUCUCCCCACAUUGGUCACCAUGCUGAUUCGUCAAGGCACAGGUCGUUUACGCCAGAAUCAACAAGUUCCGACUGGGAGGGCAUUGAAUUGUGCCUUGAUAGCCUUUUUGAGGAGACCAGGCCAGAAUCCCCACAGUCAGUUUUAUCAGACUUUGAACUCGAGAAGUUGUUUAGUAGCAGAGCAUUGUCACCAGACUCUGUGUCUUCAGAUUUGGACUUUACCCUCCUGCAGGACUGGUUGGCCGAUUUUAGAGCGUCGUCACCAGAAUCUGUGGUGUUCGGUGAGAAGGAAUCUUUGUCCCCUCAAAUGACAUUGGGCCAGGUCAGAAGUCAAAAUUGUAACUAUUACUUACACUACUCUCACAGUAGACCUGUGUCACCUCUUUCAGAGGAUGUUGAGUACUCCACAUUUUACCUUGAGGAGCUAUUUGACGAAAACAGGUCAGACUCACCAGAUUCACUCGUUUCAAAGUUUGAAUGCCCAACAACAACUGUAACCACAUCUCAACAACUGUCUGCCGGAAGACCUCUUACGUACGCUGAUGUUGUGCGGGGCUUUACACGUGAUAGGGAAACAGAGGAGUUGUUGACUUGUUCCCAAAAUGAAUUGACACCUGUUUGUCUUACGUCAGCAACUUUGGACACAGAGUGCGCUGACACCUCAGCAGACCAUUGGGUGACCGAUGUAAGGCCGCAUUCUCCUCAGUCGGUGGUGUCUGAAAGUGAACUCAGGCCCCUGUCUCCUGACUCACCUGUCCCUCAGUUCAGAUCUCCCCACAUUGGUCACCAUGCUGAUUCGUCAAGGCACAGGUCGUUUACGCCAGAAUCAACACGUUCCGACUGGGAGGGCAUUGAAUUGUGCCUUGAUAGCCUUUUUGAGGAGACCAGGCCAGAAUCCCCACAGUCAGUUUUAUUAGACUUUGAACUUGACAAGUUGUUUAGUAGCAGGCCAUUUUCACCAGACUCUGUGUCUUCAGAUUUGGACUUUACCCUCCUGCAGGACUGGUUGGCCGAUUUUAGAGCGUCGUCACCAGAAUCUGUGGUGUUCGGUGAGAAGGAAUCUUUGUCCCCUCAAAUGGCAUUGGGCCAGGUCAGAAGUCAAAAUUGUAACUAUUACUUACACUACUCUCACAGUAGACCAGUUUCACCUCUUUCAGAGGAUGUUGAGUACUCCACAUUUUACCUUGAGGAGCUAUUUGACGAAAACAGGUCAGACUCACCAGAUUCACUCGUUUCAAAGUUUGAAUGCCCAACAACAACUGUAACCACAUCUCAACAACUGUCUGCCGGAAGACCUCUUACGUACGCUGAUGUUGUGCGGGGCUUUACACGUGAUAGGGAAACAGAGGAGUUGUUGACUUGUUCCCAAAAUGAAUUGACACCUGUUUGUCUUACGUCAGCAACUUUGGACACAGAGUGCGCUGACACCUCAGCAGACCAUUGGGUGACCGAUGUAAGGCCGCAUUCUCCUCAGUCGGUGGUGUCUGAAAGUGAACUCAGGCCCCUGUCUCCUGACUCACCUGUCCCUCAGUUCAGAUCUCCCCACAUUGGUCACCAUGCUGAUUCGUCAAGGCACAGGUCGUUUACGCCAGAAUCAACACGUUCCGACUGGGAGGGCAUUGAAUUGUGCAUUGAUAGCCUUUUUGAGGAGACCAGGCCAGAAUCCCCACAGUCAGUUUUAUUAGACUUUGAACUCGAGAAGUUGUUUAGUAGCAGGCCAUUUUCACCAGACUCUGUGUCUUCAGAUUUGGACUUUACCCUCCUGCAGGACUGGUUGGCCGAUUUUAGAGCGUCGUCACCAGAAUCUGUGGUGUUCGGUGAGAAGGAAUCUUUGUCCCCUCAAAUGGCAUUGGGCCAGGUCAGAAGUCAAAAUUGUAACUAUUACUUACACUACUCUCACAGUAGACCAGUUUCACCUCUUUCAGAGGAUGUUGAGUACUCCACAUUUUACCUUGAGGAGCUAUUUGACGAAAACAGGUCAGACUCACCAGAUUCACUCGUUUCAAAGUUUGAAUGCCCAACAACAACUGUAACCACAUCUCAGCAACUGUCUGCCGGAAGACCUCUUACUUACGCUGAUGUUGUGCGGGGCUUUACACGUGAUAGGGAAACAGAGGAGUUGUUGACUUGUUCCCAAAAUGAAUUGACACCUGUUUGUCUUACAUCAGCAACUUUGGACACAGAGUGCGCUGACACCUCAGCAGACCAUUGGGUGACCGAUGUAAGGCCGCAUUCUCCUCAGUCGGUGGUGUCUGAAAGUGAACUCAGGCCCCUGUCUCCUGACUCACCUGUCCCUCAGUUCAGAUCUCCCCACAUUGGUCACCAUGCUGAUUCGUCAAGGCACAGGUCGUUUACGCCAGAAUCAACACGUUCCGACUGGGAGGGCAUUGAAUUGUGCAUUGAUAGCCUUUUUGAGGAGACCAGGCCAGAAUCCCCACAGUCAGUUUUAUCAGACUUUGAACUUGACAAGUUGUUUAGUAGCAGGGCAUUGUCACCAGACUCUGUGUCUUCAGAUUUGGACUUUACCCUCCUGCAGGACUGGUUGGCCGAUUUUAGAGCUUCGUCACCAGAAUCUGUGGUGUUCGGUGAGAAGGAAUCUUUGUCCCCUCAAAUGGCAUUGGGCCAGGUCAGAAGUCAAAAUUGUAACUAUUACUUACACUACUCUCACAGUAGACCUGUGUCACCUCUUUCAGAGGAUGUUGAGUACUCCACAUUUUGCCUCGAGGAGCUGUUUGAGGAAAACAGGUCAGACUCACCAGAUUCACUUGUUUCAAAGUUUGAAUGCCCAACAACAACUGUAACCACAUCUCAGCAACUGUCUGCCGGAAGACCUCUUACUUACGCUGAUGUUGUGCGGGGCUUUACACGUGAUAGGGAAACAGAGGAGUUGUUGACUUGUUCCCAAAAUGAAUUGACACCUGUUUGUCUUACGUCAGCAACUUUGGACACAGAGUGCGCUGACACCUCAGCAGACCAUUGGGUGACCGAUGUAAGGCCGCAUUCUCCUCAGUCGGUGGUGUCUGAAAGUGAACUCAGGCCCCUGUCUCCUGACUCACCUGUCCCUCAGUUCAGAUCUCCCCACAUUGGUCACCAUGCUGAUUCGUCAAGGCACAGGUCGUUUACGCCAGAAUCAACACGUUCCGACUGGGAGGGCAUUGAAUUGUGCCUUGAUAGCCUUUUUGAGGAGACCAGGCCAGAAUCCCCACAGUCAGUUUCAUCAGACUUUGAACUUGACAAGUUGUUUAGUAGCAGAGCAUUGUCACCAGACUCUGUGUCUUCAGAUUUGGACUUUACCCUCCUGCAGGACUGGUUGGCCGAUUUUAGAGCGUCGUCACCAGAAUCUGUGGUGUCCAGUGAGAAGGAAUCUUUGUCCCCUCAAAUGGCAUUGGGCCAGGUCAGAUGUCAAAAUUGUAGCUAUUACUUACACUACUCUCACAGUAGCCCAUUGUUUCCUCAACAAUUGCCUUCAAAAAAGUCAGAUGUUGUGUAUUUAACAUCUGACUUUGUGGAACCCUCUGAGAUAUGUAUACCCGAAUUGUCAGAAGUAUUUGCUACAUGUUUGUUCUUGAAUAAAACAAAUAUAACUUUCAAUGUAUCUCCUCAGAUUAUCGCUGCAAUUCCGCUGAUAUAUGAGGAGUCACAGAAAAGCUUCAUUUCUAAAUCAGUGUCUGAGAAAUACUAUUUGAAACUCUUUCCCAUUUUCAACAACUUUGUGUCACAUGUAUACGAUACAUUUUAUAACGGACGCCAUUUUUGUUGUCACUUAAAAUCUUUUCAUAAGAAUUUGGAAAAACAGUCGUCCAUUUGUGACGUUACAAGUCAAGAACAUUGUCAUGCAAUCAGCCAUACUUGUGUAGAUAAUUUUUCAUGUUUUUCUCAUUGCAUAUCGCAAGAUGACAUAUCAGAUACAUGUCUCUCUGCAAAUUCUUUGAAUCCAGCUCCUGUUUUGUCGCCUGACACAGGUUCCUCAAGUUCCUAUAAACAUCCAAGGGAUAGACAGUUUAAAGAGACUCCUUCUUUUUCGAAUUAUACGCUUUCGUCACCUGAAAUAUCGCAUUCAGACUUUGGAAGUCCUUCCUCUUCAACUCGUUUAUUUAAUAACCUAAGGCCGCCUUCUCCAAUGUCAUUUGCCACAGUCGAUGAGUUCACUGCCCUUUCUCCUGACUCACAAAUUGGUCAGUUUUACAGUGAACCUUGUAAUGACAUGUGUUUGUCUAAACAUAGAUCAACUUCACCAGACUCCAUUAUGUUGAACAGAGAUACCUCUGAUUCUUGUCAUGAUACUUUGUUUGAUGCGAUGAGACCAGCUUCGGCUCAAUCCUUUGGAUUUUAUACAGAAUAUCAGGAGACCGUCAACAUUUUGUCAUCAGAUAAGGAGUACUCAGAAUCAUUCCUUAACUAUUGGCUCGCAUCAUUGAGACCAUCUUCACCACCAGUCCAUGAAUCAAAAGGAGAUUUAGAUGACGGUUCGCACCUGCCAUGUGAGGGCCCCAUUACCAAAGGCAUUGGACUUGCAUGCAAGCCAGUACAACAGCAACAAGAGCAUUGCUGCAAAAAGAUUAAAUGCUCUGAGAAGGUUUGUGAUCAAAACAAAUUAGAAAAUUUAGCAGUGAGCUUAAAAGAGUCACAAAGCCUGGCCAGGUCAUGUCAUUUUGAAGGCAUCAAAGCAGACUCCAAAUCAUCAUCUGAUGCUCCUCUAUCCCACUGUACAGUGUUUACACUUACUGGAAGAGAUUCAUAUCCUGCAACGCUGAUACCCCCGUCAAGUGCAGGUGAGACAGGAUCCAUAGCACCGAUAUCAAAAGCAAAUGACCAGCCUUCUUUUGUCAGACCCCCUCCAUAG